UACGGAGGAUGCGAGCGUUAUCCUGAUUUAUUGGGUUUAAAGGGUGCGUAGGCGGCCGAGUAAGUCAGCGGUGAAAUUUUGCAGCUUAACUGUAACAGUGCCGUUGAUACUGCAUGGCUAGGAUUUGGUUGCUGUGGGUGGAAUGUGUGGUGUAGCGGUGAAAUGCUUAGAUAUCAUACAGAAUAUCGAUUGCGAAGGCAGCUCACAAAGCCAAGAUUGACGCUGAGGCACGAAAGUGUGGGGAU
This 245-nucleotide ribosomal RNA is filed under the name uncultured prokaryote. RNAcentral describes it as "partial 16S ribosomal RNA". It matches the Rfam family "Bacterial small subunit ribosomal RNA", at positions 524 to 768 of the family's 1533-position model. The record is from RNAcentral.